RNAcentral lists this ribosomal RNA (253 nucleotides) under uncultured bacterium. RNAcentral's name for it is "partial 16S ribosomal RNA". It matches the Rfam family "Bacterial small subunit ribosomal RNA", at positions 524 to 776 of the family's 1533-position model. The record is from RNAcentral.
UACGUAGGGACCGAGCGUUGUCCGGAAUCAUUGGGCGUAAAGAGCGUGUAGGCGGCCACUUAAGUCCUGCGUGAAAUCUUGCGGCUCAACCGCAAGCGGUCGUGGGAAACUGGGUGGCUAGAGUGCGGGAGAGGAGAGUGGAAUUCCUGGUGUAGCGGUGGAAUGCGCAGAUAUCAGGAAGAACACCAGUGGCGAAGGCGGCUCACUGGCCCGAUACUGACGCUGAGGCACGAAAGCGUGGGGAGCAAACAGG